Anolis sagrei ordinatus is the source of this 1143-nucleotide non-coding RNA. Lineage: Eukaryota; Metazoa; Chordata; Lepidosauria; Squamata; Anolidae. The record is from RefSeq and is a predicted model, not a curated record.
GGACAUAUUGAGUAUUUAUGCCAAGUUUGGUCCAGAUCCAUCAUUGUUUGAGUCCACAGUGCUCUCUGGAUGUAGGUGAACUACAACUCCCAAACUCAAGGUCUAUGCCCACCAAACCCUUCCAGUGUGUUCUGGUCAUGGGAAUUCUGUACCAAGUUUGGUUCAAUUCCAUUGUUGGUGGAGUUCAGAAUGCUCUUUCAUUGUAGGUGAACUAUAAAUCCCAGCAACGACAACUCCCAAAUGUCAAGGGCUAUUUUCCCUAUAUUCCACUAGUGUUCACAUUUGGGCAUAUUGGGUAUUCAUGCCAAGUAUGGUCCAGAUCUAUCAUUGUUUGAGUCCGCAGUGCUCUCUGGAUAUAGAUGAACUACAACUCCUAAACUCAAGGUCUAUGCCCACCAAACCCUUCCAGUAUUUUCUGUUGGUGGUGGGAAUUCUGUGUGCCAAGGAAGGUUGCGAAACACUGAUCUAAUGGGACUGGACUAGAUGGCCUUUGGAGUACCUUCUCAGCUAUAUGACUGAGGAACUAUGGAAAAGCAGUUGUCAACAAAGGAAUUUUCCCAAGCUGUCACAUAGGAUCCAUCUACACUGUAGAAUUAAUGCAACCUGAUACUGUUUAAACUGCCGCGUGAGUUGUAGUUGCACAAGGUCUUCAAUCUUCUCUGCCAAUUGAAGAUGAGCACCUCCCCAAACUACAACUCCCAAUAUUCCAUAGCAAUGAUCCAUGGUAGUCAAAGUGGUGUCAAACUGCAUUCAUUCUACAGUGUAGAUAUAUCUAAAGGCAAAAAUCAAAAUGCUUGUCCCACAUGAAUUGGUUAAGUACUAUUGAGACUUAAAAACAUACAACUUGGAAGCAAGAAAUCCUCUAUUUGCAGACUCCGGAUGUUUGGCUCCCUGGUAUCUCUGGAUGUGGCAUUUAUGGAAUGAGUACUAUGGGGAGGAAAGACUAAAAAUGGGGAUUGUAUGGAGGUGGGUUGUGUCUCCCAGUUCUCCUCCUUCUCGACAUGAACUUGUGGCGAUUGAGAAGGAGAUCAAGGUCAAGGAGGGGAAAAAGGAACUUUUGUAACUCUUCCGGCUCUAGCAAGGACCUCUUCUUUUGUACACAAUGGUUGUAAAUAAAACUGCCGACAUUCCUUUUCUUUCUGA